RNAcentral lists this unclassified non-coding RNA (448 nucleotides) under Hevea brasiliensis (rubber tree). The record is from RNAcentral. Lineage: Eukaryota; Viridiplantae; Streptophyta; Magnoliopsida; Malpighiales; Euphorbiaceae.
GCUUGAGGUAUCGAUUUUUCUCUCUUCAUGACACAAGCCUUUUGACUGUUCUUGAAUAUUUUUGUUAUUACUUAUUUAAAUAUUUUGCAUUUUGCUUUCUUGGAUUCUAUUAUUAUUCUUAUCUGCCUUUAGCUAACUGUAAUUUUAUUUUUGAUGACACUACUAAGCACAAACAUGGAAUGGAUCUUAUAUUAGGAUGAUCGUAGACACAUAUAACUUUCUGGUAAAUUAUACUGACUGUCACUCAACUUUGAGGAUUGUUUCAUUUCAGUAAAUCAAUUUCAAAUUGUUAAAAUAAUAUCUCUCAACCUUAUUUUUUGUUAAAAAAAAAGCCACCAUGACUUGCUAUAAUAGAUUAUCCUGUUGUCAAACUAAAAUUACCUUUCUCCCUUUUCUCCCUUCUAUUUUUCUAUCUCUAUCUCUAUCUCUUCUCUAUUUCUUUGAAUCA